GGCAUGCUUAACACAUGAAAGUCGAUUGGUUAGUGGUGUUUCCAUAGGCGCAUGAGUGAGUAACGCAUAAGAACUUGCCCUUAGGAUGGAACAACAAUUGGAAACGGUUGCUCCAUACCCCAUGGACCGAGGAGCAUAAGAAGAAAUCAGCCCAGGCAAGGAUCACAUUAAUUAGCUAGUUGGUGAAGCAAUAACUUACUUAGACAAUGAUUAGUAGCUGGUCCAAGAGGAUGAUCAACCACACUGGAAUUGACGGAACUAGAUCCUCUUAACAUAGAGGAGAAAUGUUAGAGAAGCUAAAAUAUCCUAACUUGCC
Molecule: non-coding RNA, 316 nt
Organism: Triticum aestivum (bread wheat)
Lineage: Eukaryota; Viridiplantae; Streptophyta; Magnoliopsida; Poales; Poaceae
Source: Rfam